This 864-nucleotide ribosomal RNA is filed under the name uncultured archaeon. RNAcentral describes it as "SSU rRNA". It matches the Rfam family "Archaeal small subunit ribosomal RNA", at positions 474 to 1337 of the family's 1478-position model. The record is from RNAcentral.
AACCAGCACCUCAAGUGGUCAGGAUGAUUAUUGGGCCUAAAGCAUCCGUAGCCGGCUCUGUAAGUUUUCGGUUAAAUCUGUACGCUUAACGUACAGGCUGCCGGUAAUACUGCAGAACUAGGUAGUGGGAGAGGUAGACGGUACUCGGUAGGAAGGGGUAAAAUCCUUUGAUCUAUUGAUGACCACCUGUGGCGAAGGCGGUCUACCAGAACACGGACGACGGUGAGGGAUGAAAGCUGGGGGAGCAAACCGGAUUAGAUACCCGGGUAGUCCCAGCUGUAAACUAUGCAAACUCAGUGAUGCAUUGGCUUGUGGCCAAUGCAGUGCUGCAGGGAAGCCGUUAAGUUUGCCGCCUGGGAAGUACGUACGCAAGUAUGAAACUUAAAGGAAUUGGCGGGGGAGCACCACAAGGGGUGAAGCCUGCGGUUCAAUUGGAGUCAACGCCAGAAAUCUUACCCGGAGAGACAGCAGAAUGAAGGUCAAGCUGAAGACUUUACCAGACAAGCUGAGAGGUGGUGCAUGGCCGUCGCCAGCUCGUGCCGUGAGAUGUCCUGUUAAGUCAGGUAACGAGCGAGAUCCCUGCCUCUAGUUGGCAGCAUUACUCUCAGGAGUAGUGGGCAGAAUUAGUGGGACCGCCGCAGUUAAUGCGGAGGAAGGAAGGGGCCACGGCAGGUCAGUAUGCCCCGAAACUGUCGGUGCACACGCGGCAUGCAAUGGUAACGACAAUGGGCUUCGAAUUCGAAAGGAUGAGGUAAUCCUCAAACGUUAUCGCAGUUAUGACUGAGGGGUGCAACUCGACCUCACGAAUACGGAAUCCAUAGUAACUCCGGGUCACUACCACGCGGUGAAUAAGUUCCUGUUCCU